UGUGAGAGCAAGAGCCCGGAGAUGGAUUCUGAGACACGAAUCCAGGCCCUACGGGGUGCAGCAGGCGCGAAAACUUUACAAUGCUGGCAACAGCGAUAAGGGAACCUCGAGUGCCAGGUUACAAAUCUGGCUGUCGAGAUGCCUAAAAAGCAUUUCAUAGCAAGGGCCGGGCAAGACCGGUGCCAGCCGCCGCGGUAAUACCGGCGGCUCGAGUGGUGGCCACUAUUACUGGGCUUAAAGCGUUCGUAGCUGGGUUGUUAAGUCUCUUGGGAAAUCCACCGGCUCAACCGAUGGGCGACCAGGGGAAACUGGCAUUCUAGGGACCGGGAGAGGUGAGAGGUACUCCAGGGGUAGGAGUGAAAUCCUGUAAUCCUUGGGGGACCACCGAUGGCGAAGGCAUCUCACCAGAACGGCUCCGACAGUGAGGAACGAAAGCUGGGGGAGCAAACCGGAUUAGAUACCCGGGUAGUCCCAGCUGUAAACGAUGCGCGUUAGGUGUAUCGGUGACCACGAGUUACCGAGGUGCCGAAGGGAAACCGUGAAACGCG
Molecule: ribosomal RNA, 548 nt
Filed under: uncultured archaeon
Lineage: Archaea
Description: bacterial SSU rRNA
Rfam family: Archaeal small subunit ribosomal RNA
Source: RNAcentral